RNAcentral lists this long non-coding RNA (1245 nucleotides) under Equus caballus (horse). RNAcentral describes it as "lncRNA (ENSECAG00000046406.1)". The record is from RNAcentral. Lineage: Eukaryota; Metazoa; Chordata; Mammalia; Perissodactyla; Equidae.
AAGACUGGAAUCAAGCUGCUAAUCAAGCUUCACUACCCUGAUUGCUAGCAUUGCCACCUGGAUCCCUCAUCAUACUGAAUGGCAAAACAUUCACCAUUUUACACUGGAUACAAAGGAAAGGUUUCUGUGUAUCCAGUGCUCCCUUGGAUGUCAUUUGAUAGAAGAACCUACAUUUUUUUCUUCCAGGUUAAUAGUCAAUGCUCCAUAUGCCAUUUGAUUAAUUCACCCCUUUCCUACUGAUUUUAAAUAUUUUUAUGUACUAAAUUCUCACUUGUAAAGAUAUUGCAUAUGGCUACUCAUGACCCAUUCUCUACAUUGUUUUAUUAAUAACAUGUUUUGGAACAAGACUGGCACAUACCUCAUAGGCACCAAAAAUCCUAUCUUUCUGGCCUGAUAAUGUUUCACUGAAGUGUAUUCAAAUCAAGAUUAGUAAAGGACAAUGCCUCCUAGGACUCUGGAAAUGGAGCAUCACAGACCAGUUACGUUGUUAUUCUCGAGCUGCCAGCAGCCUUGCCAAGAAUAUGCAUCUAUAAUAAGAGCAGAUAAUGUCCAGUUAGUGCUAUUCUCUGAAAAUCAAGAGAUAACUUUACUGUUUUUAUAAUAGUUGGUAAUAUCAAGAAAGUCUUAAAAUUUUUUCUCGGUUUCUUAUGAUAUUUAGAAUCAUGUCUACUUUUAUAUAUAAUCUUUUAGGAUUAUGACUGGAUUUGCUAUUAAGUUCAGGAUCAUCUGCCCACUAGGAUGGAACCAGUUCAGCCAAGUGGCCUGAAUCAUGCAUUGGGAGGCCAGGUGACAAAAGUCCCCUGACUGGACACUCAGGCCUCACCUGCUGUGCCCUUGCUGGCAGGACACCUCUUCUAUAUCAUACAUUAUCAACUGGAGACUGUGAUCUGUGCUGUAGUCAUAGCUCCCUUCCCCCACCUGGCUCAUUGCUCCAGGUUAUGGACUUUUAUUUCAACAGAUGGAUGCCUCAUCUAGAGACACUGGAGGAGUCAAUUUUCUAUCUGCCUGCCUACUAAGGGUCUUCAAGCUAAUAAAAAAGCCUCCAUGAAGGCAAGAAUUUGUAUCUGUUUUGUUCAUACUGUAUCCCAAGCAUAGGAAACAGUCCCUCUAUCUAUUGGGCACUCAGAAAUACUUGUUGAAGGUAGAAUUAUCUAAAUGAAAUCUGAACAUUUUUCCUUUCAAUGCUGGAAAUUCUCUUUUUAGAGUCAUGAUUUAUUAUAAAUAGGUAAGGAAAAUUGUUGCUGU